GACGAACGCUGGCGGCGUGCUUAACACAUGCAAGUCGAACGGAAAGGCCCUGCUUUUGUGGGGUGCUCGAGUGGCGAACGGGUGAGUAACACGUGAGUAACCUGCCCUUGACUUUGGGAUAACUUCAGGAAACUGGGGCUAAUACCGGAUAGGAGCUCCUGCUGCAUGGUGGGGGUUGGAAAGUUUCGGCGGUUGGGGAUGGACUCGCGGCUUAUCAGCUUGUUGGUGGGGUAGUGGCUUACCAAGGCUUUGACGGGUAGCCGGCCUGAGAGGGUGACCAGCCACAUUAGGACUGAGAUACGGCCCAGACUCCUACGGGAGGCAGCAGUGGGGAAUAUUGCACAAUGGGCGGAAGCCUGAUGCAGCAACGCCGCGUGCGGGAUGACGGCCUUCGGGUUGUAAACCGCUUUCGCCUGUGACGAAGCGUGAGUGACGGUAAUGGGUAAAGAAGCACCGGCUAACUACGUG
RNAcentral lists this ribosomal RNA (468 nucleotides) under uncultured bacterium. RNAcentral describes it as "partial 16S ribosomal RNA". It matches the Rfam family "Bacterial small subunit ribosomal RNA", at positions 28 to 507 of the family's 1533-position model. The record is from RNAcentral.